Molecule: long non-coding RNA, 3007 nt
Filed under: Capsella grandiflora
Lineage: Eukaryota; Viridiplantae; Streptophyta; Magnoliopsida; Brassicales; Brassicaceae
Description: long non-coding RNA (CGRA_LNC000946)
Source: RNAcentral
UAUCUUCUUCUUCAAGCUUAACUCAACAUUCUCCCCCUUAAGCUUGAACACACUAUUCUUCAAAUCUUGAACUCCAAUCAAAUCUCUCAUUUCUUUAAACUUGAUCUUCCCUAGAGCUUUUGUUAGAAUAUCCGCCUUUUGCUCGGUUCCGGGAACAUGCUCUACUUCGAUAUGCCCAUUCUCAACACAUUCCCUUAUAAAAUGAUACCUUCUAUGUAUGUGCUUACUUCUCCCAUGAAAAACCGGAUUCUUGGUGAGUGCUAUUGCUGACUUGUUGUCCAUAAGAAUGGUAACUCUUGCACUAGGUUUACCAAAGAUCUCACUUAACAAAUCUUGAAGCCAUAUAGCUUGUUUUGCAGCCUCGGUACCUGCCAUAAACUCAGCCUCACACGACGACAUUGCCACCGUGUGUUGUUUCUGUGAGCACCAUGUAAUGGGGAACUUGUUGAGAUAGAAUAUGUGACCCGCUGUGCUUCGUCCGUCAUCUCUAUCCAUGUUAUGAGAGCUAUCACUGUAUCCUAUUAAACCUGUUUUAUCUCCACGAGUAAAAUUCAGACCAUAACAAGAAGUUCCCCGUAAGUAUCUAAGUAUUACUUUCAUUGCUGCUCCAUGUGUUCGCUUAGGUUCAUGCAUAUACCUACUCAAAAUGCUUACACAAUAUGCAAGAUCAGGCCUUGUAUGGAGUAAAUAUCGGAGGCAUCCAAUAUUACGUCUAUACUCUGUUUCAUCUAUGUUGUCUUCUUCGUGUGACUUAGAUACUUCAAGACCUGCUUCCAUUGGUAUGUGAACUAAGUUGCAGUCCUUCAUACCAGUUUCUUCAAGAAUCUUCUCAGCAUAUCUCUCUUGACUUAGCAUUAUACCACCAUUAUAUUGCAGGACUUCAAUACCCAAAUAGUAUGUCAGUUUUCCAAGAUCACUCAUUUCAAACUUUGAUGCCAUCCCCUUCUUAAAUUCAAGUAUUAAACUUAAACUUGACCCCGUGACCAGGAGAUCAUCCACAUAAACGGCGACGAUAAGUAAGUGCUCCUUCUCUUGCUUUCUAUACAAUGAUGGUUCUUUAGAGCACUUGACAAAUUUCAACUCCAUGAGAAUUCCAUUCAGUUUGUUGUUCCAAGCUCUUGGUGCUUGCCUUAAACCGUAAAGUGCCUUGUUUAACUUGUAGACUUUGUCUUCACUUCCUUUAAUCACAAAACCUUCUGGCUGUUUGACAAACACCACUUCUUUUAAUUCUCCAUGUAAGAAAGCAGUCUUUACAUCAAGAUGAUGGACUUCCCAAGAGUUUGAAGCUGCUAAGGCGAGAAUGAACCGGAUUGUCUCGAUGCGAGCCACAGGAGCGAACACCUCGUCGAAGUCUACUCCUUGUCUUUGUAUGUAACCCUUAGCUACAAGCCUAGCCUUGUACUUGUUUAAGCUCCCAUCAGAAUUUCUUUUGAUUUUAAACACCCAUUUUAACCCAAUUGCCUUGGCUCCUUGAGGAAGUGAAACCAGAUUCCAAGUUCCAUUCUUAUUGAUAGAAGAGAUCUCUUCUUGACAAGCAUCUCUCCAUUCUUUCAUCUCUUUUGCCUCAUCAUAGUUCCAUGGUUCCUCAUUCAUAGCUAAUAAAAGCUUUUCACACUCGAUUGCAGCCAAUAAGACAUAGUCUUCCAAGUAUUUGGGUUUUGAUAUUCGUCGUGUUGAUCUCCUCAGAACUGGGUUGUCACCUUCGUCUUGAAUUUCUUCCUCUCUCUCAUCAUCGAUCUCAUCUCCUUGAACAUGAUCAUCACUAGAAUCAGAGAAUGAUUUAACACUUCCAUCAUCAUCUUCUCGUCGUUCUCUGUUUUCUUGUCGUUCUCUGUUUUCUGGUAUAACGCAAUCUUCUUCUUCUUCUCGUAUUCCAUUAUUGCCAUGCUCUCCAAAAUUAACCGUAAACAUUCCUGGUUCCUCUUCAGUGUCUUUCUCCAGAUUAUUCCACCUCCAACUCUUGCUCUCAUCAAACACCACAUCACGACUUACUGUUACCUUCUUUGUUGUCGGAUCUAGUAGUCGAUAUGCUUUUGAUCCUGGUUCCGUUCCAAGAUGUACCAGCAUUCGGGAUCUAUCAUCUAGUUUCUUCAAGUGUGGAGCUUCUAUCUUUGCGUAACCGAUACAUCCAAAGACACGAAGAUGUUCAAUGCUUGGCUUCCUUCCUUUGUAGGCUUCAUACGGAGUUUGUGCUUUCAAAGUUCUUGUUGCUACUCUGUUGAUAACAUAAGUAGCAUGCCUUACUGCUUCUCCCCAUAGAUAAUUAGGUAGGCCCAUAUGUUUAAGAAUGCUUCGAGUCAUUUCCAUGAGGGUUCUGUUUCGCCUCUCCACCACACCGUUCUGCUGCGGCGAGUAUGGUGCAGUUAGAUGUCUUUGAAUACCUGCAUUCUCACAAAAUCUUUGAAAUUCUUGUGAAACAAACUCUCCUCCCCUAUCAGUACGCAAUGUUUUAAUAAAAAAACCUGUUUCCUGUUCCACAACCUUCUUGAAGAUCUUAAAUUUUCCAAAUGCUUCUCCUUUUUCUUUUAGCAAAAUCGACCACAUGUAGCGAGAGUGGUCAUCAAUGAGCACAAAGAUAUAUCUCUUCUUUGCUGGGGUUGGAGGAGAUAUCGGUCCACACAGAUCACCAUGAAUAAGCUCUAACAACUUUGAAGCACGAAAAGAUGUUGUUUUGGGGAAAACGUGUCUAACUUGUUUCCCAAGUAGACAUGAAGAGCAAGUGCUCUUUUCAACUAUGAUAUUUGGCAUACCAAUGACUAAAUCAUUCUUAACCAUUGUUUUUAUUGCUUCCGCACCAAUAUGUCCAAGCCUUGCAUGCCAUGUUGUUGAUUCAUUCAUCUCUAAUGCGUGUAGACAGGUUGUUGGCUCAACAUACAAUCGUACUUUGUAUAAACGAUUUCUAGAGCGGUUUGUUUGAACCAGUAAUCUGCCCUCUCGAUCAUGUAGUGUUAUGAGAUCUCCUUCCAUUAGGAUUUUGCACCCAGAUUCAGUGGCUUGUCCAAGGCUA